This 476-nucleotide ribosomal RNA is filed under the name uncultured bacterium. Its description in RNAcentral is "bacterial SSU rRNA". It matches the Rfam family "Bacterial small subunit ribosomal RNA", at positions 29 to 506 of the family's 1533-position model. The record is from RNAcentral.
AGCGAACGUUUGCGGCGGGCCUAACACAUGCAAGUCGAACGCACUAGCAAUAGUGAGUGGCGCACGGGUGCGUAACACGUGGGUAAUCAACCCUUCAGCCUGGGAUAACGACUCGAAAGGGUCGCUAAUACCGGAUACGGCGCGAGAGGCUUCGGCUUCUCACGAGAAAGCCACGCAAGGGGCACUGAAGGACGAGCCUGCGGCCCAUCAGCUAGUUGGUGAGGUAAGAGCUCACCAAGGCUAAGACGGGUAGCUGGUCUGAGAGGAUGAUCAGCCACACUGGAACUGAGACACGGUCCAGACUCCUACGGGAGGCAGCAGUGGGGAAUAUUGCGCAAUGGGCGAAAGCCUGACGCAGCCACGCCGCGUGAGCGAUGAAGGCCUUGGUCGUAAGACUCUGUGGGAGGAGACGAAGAAAGACCUGUGAAGAGCAGGCCUUGACGGUAGUCUCCUUAGCAAGCACCGGCUAACUCCGU